UUGUGGUUGAAAUGAUAUGAAGAACUUGUUCAGAUUUGAUUUUCAACAUUGCAAUGAGUGGCGAACGGGUGAGUAACACGUGGGAAACCUACCUCUUAGCAGGGGAUAACAUUUGGAAACAAAUGCUAAUACCGUAUAAUAAUUAAAACCGCAUGGUUUUAGUUUAAAAGAUGGUCUUGCUAUCACUAAGAGAUGGUCCCGCGGUGUAUUAGUUAGUUGGUGAGGUAAUGGCUCACCAAGACAAUGAUACAUAGCCGAGUUGAGAGACUGACCGGCCACAAUGGGACUGAGACACGGCCCAUACUCCUACGGGAGGCAGCAGUAGGGAAUCUUCCACAAUGGACGAAAGUCUGAUGGAGCAACGCCGCGUGUGUGAUGAAGGGUUUCGGCUCGUAAAACACUGUUGUAAGAGAAGAAUGACAUUGA
Molecule: ribosomal RNA, 426 nt
Filed under: uncultured Weissella sp.
Lineage: Bacteria; Bacillati; Bacillota; Bacilli; Lactobacillales; Lactobacillaceae
Description: bacterial SSU rRNA
Rfam family: Bacterial small subunit ribosomal RNA
Source: RNAcentral